UUGGCGAGCAGCGGGGAGCCCGGUACCGGCCUCGCGUGGGAGUCGCGUCUGUUCUCUCUCUGCCUAGGAACCGCCCUGCCCCCGCGGUGCAGCCCCUCAGGCGGGUUCUUCCUUCAGCGUGCUGUAAAUCCGUAAAACGCUGCAGCCCUUUCCCCGGACGUCUCCUGACCUGUAGUAGUAGCACCGCUGCCUGCCCCAGCAAGACAAGCCACGGGUUUUCUCCCGUUCACCGCUGAAGGACCUAUCUGCAAGGACUCUUGUGAUUUGAAUGAGGAGGAAUGUAUGUAGCAACAACUACUGAGUAUCCACUGUGGGCCCAGCUGCUCGCCUGCUCACCUGUCAUGUCAUUGGGUGUCAAUGGGAUUCAAGUUGCCAACUGUUGAAUUCACAUCCAAGUGAAAGGAGAGAUGAAGGAAAGUUCCGCUGAGUCCUUUGGAGACUUGACUCCCUCUAUCUCCUUUCCCGUUUCUCUCCACCUUACUCGUCUCACCUUCAUGAGCACCUUAUGUCAUGGUAACGAUCCCUGCGGGGAAGGCGAGUUGGACUCUGCUCCCUCUGGGGCCACCGGAGCUAUUGGAAAAGCUUGCUGCCAGCUGCGAGUCGCUCCUUCAGCCCUCGAGGCACGUUACCUAGAAAAUCUGAGAAUGGAUUGA
RNAcentral lists this long non-coding RNA (653 nucleotides) under Struthio camelus australis. Its description in RNAcentral is "lncRNA (ENSSCUG00000015899.1)". Lineage: Eukaryota; Metazoa; Chordata; Aves; Struthioniformes; Struthionidae. The record is from RNAcentral.